GGCUGUUUGGUGUCCACGCAGGGGCUGAUGGGAGGUGGGAGGGGCCAUUAAAAAGCAGGAGGCCCCGUUGCUUCGUCCUCCUCUUCAUCAGAUGCUGCUUCUCCAGGUUCACCAGAGGAAACGCCACAGAAUGCAUCUCCUGCUGCCGGCCGCUCUGUGCUGUCUGUGUUCAGCGCUGGUCACCACGGCAACACAGCUGACCCAGGACAAGUUGUUCCUGAGCAGAGGAGUGGAGAAAUCAGUUCCAGUGAGCUGUGGUGGGACAGAGCAGUGUGAUGAUAAAAAGCUUUACUGGUUCCAGAAGAAAGACGGACAACCAUUCCAAACCAUCAUCCAGUACAACUUAGAAAGUGAAAAAUCCCAACCAUCCUACAGCCAUCCUGACAAAGACGACUUCAGCGUCUGGAAGACAGACAGUGGUUGUGAACUGAGGAUAGCGACGGCAAAAGCUGCCCAUUCAGCCACCUACUACUGCGCCUGUUAUAAAGAAGUUCCCCACAGUGAGAAAGAACGGCGCUAACCCGAACAAAAACCUCCAGAUAUUCAACAGGAAGAAAAACCACAAUCACAUAUUCAAAACCACCAAUCAAACCACCAGACUGUACAAAAGGAUUUUGUAAAAAUAUAUCUGUUGAAUAUUUUGUUGGUUCGCUAGAAAAUGGAUGAGUGACAAACUGCCCACAUUAUUAGACUGGAUAGAACUUAUGAAAGAAAUGUCCCUGAUGGAGAAACUCAUAUUUGCUUUGAGACUAGAACACGACAAAUUUGAGGAAUACUGGAAACCAUGGAUGGACUUUAUGAACACUCAAAAGGAACACACUGUGACACCCACUGUUGUUUAACUACUAUAUUACUGUUGUUUGUAUCAUUAUUAUUAUUAUUAUUAUUAUUAUUAUUAUUAUUAUUAUUAUUA
Sphaeramia orbicularis (orbiculate cardinalfish) is the source of this 913-nucleotide non-coding RNA. The record is from the annotation of a RefSeq genome assembly. NCBI's taxonomy places the organism in Eukaryota, Metazoa, Chordata, Actinopteri, Kurtiformes, Apogonidae.